AACAACCAAAUAUGAUAUUCUGCAAAGGGUCAAGUUGGUAAUUUUUCUUACAUCUCACCCUUUCGGAGCCCAGGUAUCAUAUACGCCCCCAAAAAUAAAGAGCCUUGAAUACUAGAAGAAAAGCACCUAUACGCU
Molecule: non-coding RNA, 135 nt
Filed under: Solanum pimpinellifolium
Lineage: Eukaryota; Viridiplantae; Streptophyta; Magnoliopsida; Solanales; Solanaceae
Description: Antisense RNA which regulates isiA expression
Rfam family: Antisense RNA which regulates isiA expression
Source: RNAcentral